This 588-nucleotide ribosomal RNA is filed under the name uncultured bacterium. RNAcentral's name for it is "partial 16S ribosomal RNA". It matches the Rfam family "Bacterial small subunit ribosomal RNA", at positions 355 to 1376 of the family's 1533-position model. The record is from RNAcentral.
UGGGGAAUAUUGGACAAUGGGCGCAAGCCUGAUCCAGCAAUGCCGCGUGUGUGAAGAAGGCCUUCGGGUUGUAAAGCACUUUUAUCAGGAGCGAAACGCUGUCGGCUAAUACCCGGCGGAACUGACGGUACCUGAGGAAUAAGCACCGGCUAACUUCGUGCCAGCAGCCGCGGUAAUACGAAGGGUGCAAGCGUUAAUCGGAAUUACUGGGCGUAAAGCGUGCGUAGGCGGUUUCUUAAGUCUGCUGUGAAAUCCCCGGGCUCAACCUGGGAAUGGCAGUGGAUACUGGGAGGCUAGAGUGUGUCAGAGGGUGGUGGAAUUCCCGGUGUAGCGGUGAAAUGCGUAGAGAUCGGGGGGAACAUCAGUGGCGAAGGCGGCCACCUGGGACAACACUGACGCUGAGGCACGAAAGCGUGGGGAGCAAACAGGAUUAGAUACCCUGGUAGUCCACGCCCUAAACGAUGCGAACUGGAUGUUGGUCUCAACUCGGAGAUCAGUGUCGAAGCUAACGCGUUAAGUUCGCCGCCUGGGGAGUACGGUCGCAAGACUGAAACUCAAAGGAAUUGACGGGGUCAUAGCUGUUUCCUG